This 433-nucleotide ribosomal RNA is filed under the name uncultured bacterium. RNAcentral's name for it is "bacterial SSU rRNA". It matches the Rfam family "Bacterial small subunit ribosomal RNA", at positions 29 to 507 of the family's 1533-position model. The record is from RNAcentral.
AAUGAACGCUGGCGGCAGGCCUAACACAUGCAAGUCGAGCGAGGACUUCGGUCCUAGCGGCGGACGGGUGAGUAACGCGUGGGAACGUGCCCUUUGCUACGGAAUAGCCCUGGGAAACUGGGAGUAAUACCGUAUGUGCCCUUCGGGGGAAAGAUUUAUCGGCAAAGGAUCGGCCCGCGUUGGAUUAGGUAGUUGGUGGGGUAAUGGCCUACCAAGCCGACGAUCCAUAGCUGGUUUGAGAGGAUGAUCAGCCACACUGGGACUGAGACACGGCCCAGACUCCUACGGGAGGCAGCAGUGGGGAAUCUUAGACAAUGGGGGAAACCCUGAUCUAGCCAUGCCGCGUGAGCGAUGAAGGCCUUAGGGUUGUAAAGCUCUUUCAGUGGGGAAGAUAAUGACGGUACCCACAGAAGAAGCCCCGGCUAACUCCGUG